GACGUCAAGCUUCCAAGAAAAGCCCUACACCCGUUAAGGCAUCAUGGCCUGUACCCGAAACCGACACAGGUGGGGUGGUAGAGAAUACCGAGGGGCGCGAGGUAACUCUCUCUAAGGAACUCGGCAAAAUGGCCCCGUAACUUCGGGAGAAGGGGUGCCAGCGAGAGCUGGUCGCAGUGAAGAGGCCCAGGCGACUGUUUACCAAAAACACAGGUCUCCGCUAAGUCGCAAGACGAUGUAUGGGGGCUGACGCCUGCCCAGUGCCGGAAGGUUAAGGAAGCUGGUCAGCGCAAGCGAAGCUAGCGACUGAAGCCCCGGUGAACGGCGGCCGUAACGAUAACGGUCCUAAGGUAGCGAAAUUCCUUGUCGGGUAAGUUCCGACCCGCACGAAAGGCGUAACGAUCUGGGCGCUGUCUCGGAGAGAGGCUCGGCGAAAUAGAAUUGUCUGUGAAGAUGCGGACUACGUGCACCCGGACAGAAAGACCCUAUGAAGCUUUACUGUAGCUUGGUAUUGUGCUCGGGCUCGGAAUGCGCAGGAUAGGUGGGAGGCUUGGAUCCAUUGCUUGCGGGUGAUGGUGAGCCACUGGUGAGAUACCACUCUUUCCGAGCUAGAGUUCUAACCCUCGCCCGUUAUCCGGGGAGGGGACAGUAUCAGGUGGGCAGUUUGACUGGGGCGGUCGCCUCCUAAAAGGUAACGGAGGCGUGCAAAGGUUCCCUCAGGCUGGUUGGAAAUCAGCCGACGAGUGCAAAGGCAGAAGGGAGCUUGACUGUGAGACCUACAAGUCGAACAGGGACGAAAGUCGGCCUUAGUGAUCCGACGGUUCUGCGUGGAAGGGCCGUCGCUCAACGGAUAAAAGUUACUCUAAGGAUAACAGGCUGAUCUCCCCCAAGAGUUCACAUCGACGGGGAGGUUUGGCACCUCGAUGUCGGCUCAUCGCAACCUGGGGCUGAAGUCGGUCCCAAGGGUUGGGCUGUUCGCCCAUUAAAGCGGUACGCGAGCUGGGUUCAGAACGUCGUGAGACAGUUCGGUCCAUAUCCGGUGCACGCGCAGGAAUAUUGAGAGGAUUUCUCCCUAGUACGAGAGGACCGGGAGGAACGCACCUCAGGUGUGCCAGUUAUCGUGCCAACGGUAAACGCUGGGUAGCCAUGUGCGGAGAGGAUAACCGCUGAAAGCAUCUAGGUGGGAAGCCCACCUCAAGAUGAGUAUUCCCAUGGCAAAAGCCAGUAAGGUCACGGGAAGAUUACCCGUUGAUAGGCUCUACGUGGAAGCGCAGCAAUGCGUGAAGCGGAGGAGUACUAAUAGACCGAGGGCUU
RNAcentral lists this ribosomal RNA (1314 nucleotides) under metagenome. Its description in RNAcentral is "bacterial LSU rRNA". It matches the Rfam family "Bacterial large subunit ribosomal RNA", at positions 1596 to 2925 of the family's 2925-position model. The record is from RNAcentral.